This 77-nucleotide transfer RNA is filed under the name Candidatus Avidesulfovibrio excrementigallinarum. RNAcentral's name for it is "tRNA-Arg". It matches the Rfam family "tRNA". Rfam says of the family: Transfer RNA (tRNA) molecules are approximately 80 nucleotides in length. Their secondary structure includes four short double-helical elements and three loops (D, anti-codon, and T loops). Lineage: Bacteria; Pseudomonadati; Thermodesulfobacteriota; Desulfovibrionia; Desulfovibrionales; Desulfovibrionaceae. The record is from RNAcentral.
GCGCUCGUAGCUCAGUCGGAUAGAGCAGGAGCCUUCUAAGCUCUUGGUCGAGGGUUCGAUUCCUUCCGGGCGCGCCA